This 318-nucleotide transfer-messenger RNA is filed under the name Thermoleophilaceae bacterium. RNAcentral's name for it is "partial transfer-messenger RNA". It matches the Rfam family "transfer-messenger RNA", at positions 41 to 374 of the family's 374-position model. From Rfam's summary of the family: Bacterial tmRNA, also known as 10Sa RNA or SsrA, is named for its dual tRNA and mRNA-like properties. Its role is to liberate the mRNA from a stalled ribosome. The record is from RNAcentral. Lineage: Bacteria; Bacillati; Actinomycetota; Thermoleophilia; Thermoleophilales; Thermoleophilaceae.
AGUUGCGAGCCGAGGUUGGUUGGAGGCCUCGUUAAACCCCAACCAAAACCAUAAAUGCGGACUCUCACGAGUACGCCCUCGUCUAAAUAAGACAAGGCAUUCGUCCAGCGUGGGCCCGUGCGCUGGGUAGCGGGUGUUAGCCAACGGGCUUGGUCAGACCGCGUGUUUCAGGCGCCUGAUGACAUCUAACUGAGACUGGUUUUCCUGGACCCUGCCGGAUCGGCUAAGGGGAAACGAGAUCCAGAAAUCCGGACACGCUCGUAGACGCUUCAUCGCACGCAGUCGCGGACGCGGGUUCAAUUCCCGCCGUCUCCACUA